UUAUUUGUGAAGAGAUCUAAGUCACAAAAAUGACUUUUUGAGAAAAUCGAAAAAAAGUGUUUAUAUUUUUAACUUAAUAAAAAUAUAUAUAUUUUUUUUGGGGCAUAGUUACAAUUCGUAUAAUGUGUACUAUUUCUACUUAUUUACAAUUUUUUUUUAAAGCAAAUAUUGUUUUAUUUAUAAUAUUGUUGAUCUGACUUAUAUCCUUUCACGAAUUAAUUUAAAAACUUCAAUAAAAUCAUUCGUUUUGUAAAUUAUAUUACUAAAUUUAUAAUAAAAAACAACAUCAUUGAUAAACUUUAUUCUCAAAUAUAUAGAACUAAACAUAUUGAACAUUUUUGAUGAAACAAAAAAUCACAUUUCAAUGAUCUAUAAGACAAAACUUUUAUUAUUCAUGCUCAGCUUCCGCAUCAGUGGUUGGCCAGCCCAGUAUUUUCUCAUAAAAGUCCAUAAAGUUUUCAGGAAUAUAACCAGUUACUUUCCUGAUAUCAUUAAUUUUUUUUAUAUUAAUUGGAAUUUUUUCCCCCGGAUAAGCUCUUUCAUUAGCCAGUUGAACAAUUCCAGCAUCAGGAAUUUUUAACAAAAAAGAACUCUUUUGUACUCCAUCAAUAUACUUUAAGGCUUCAACAGUUCCUUUCCUUUCAUGAUUGUAGCGAAACUCCAUAAAAGUGGAAACUGCGAAUGACUCUUUUUUUGAACGUGGAAUAGACCUAGCACUGCUCUCCAAGGAAAAGCAAGUUUUUUUAUAGUACUUGGACCACCAGUUUUUAAAAUUUAACACAUCAUCAGUAUCGACCAUUUCGACAGUAAAUUUUUGCCCCUUUGCAGCAUUGCAAAUUACUUCACACACUUCCAUGGGUGUAUACAGCCUGUCUAUGCGAUUUAGUUUGCGUUUGACUAAACCAAAGUCACGAUCGCACGGCAAAAAUGAAUGGCCGCGAAUCGGAAAUUUGUGAACAACUUUUUCAAACAUUCCACUGUCAGUAAGAGCAAGACAAAAGCGAACUGAGCACUUCCAUUUUUUAGAUUGUGAAUACCAAAAGGAAAUAAAGAAAGCUGACGUAAGUAAAAAAUAUCCUGUACGGGAAUAGACGGCAACGAAAUAUUCUGCAUAUAAUCAAAACAUAGUCCGAGAACUCUAUCAUUUUCUUUGCACAUUUUUUCUGUAUUUUGUAUGCUAGUAUUAAAUUUUUUAGAACGUCUUUUGUGCACCAUAAGUUCAGCUAAAGCAGCUCUUUUCGCUGUUUCAUUUAAAGAGGAACUUGUGGAUUUAAUUUCAAGUUCCUCGCAUUGACAACACGUAUCUACUUGCGGUCGUCCAAAUUUAUAAUCAAAAUGCUCUUUAAAAAUUUUGUAAUAUGUCGAAUAUUUCACAUCAAUUUCUGUAUGCUUUUCUUUGAAUAAGCUAUGCAGCUUCUUGACAUUUAACUUUGCAUCCAGAUAUAGAUAUUCUUUGGAUGCAUAGUGACUAUGUUUAACAGGAAAUGUUGAAAUGUGUUCACAGACUAUCUGAAUAAUAUUACCUGGAACAGUUUUUCGAUUAUUUUGUAGGCCUCUUAAAUCUCUCGGGGAUUUUCCAAGAUUCAAAAGAAGUUGCAACCGUUGUACUAACUUAGAACUUAUGCCAUGCAAGCUUAAAAAUGCUUUUUUGCAAACCUUUCGUCUCUCUGUGUUAACCAAUACAAAAUAUUCAAAAGAUGAACUUCUUUGUUUUGCUUCUUCUUUCCGUGGCCGCCUGUUCUUGAUAUUGUUUGACACCAAUAGUCCUUGCAGGUAAAUAUCUUGUUCGUUUUUGGUUGAAAAAGAACGAAACUUAUUCAUUAUGUGAAUUUGUUCUGCUGGAGUUAGUUUUUCAAAACAUUUUAGCUUGCACCUGCAAGAAUUCAUUCCCAUUAAAAAACUUCUUAAAAAACUUAAAAUUUUGUUAAACUUACAUGCAUGGCUCGCCAACAGCUUUUCCUGGAACCAUGUUAUCUCGAUAGUUUCUAUACGGUUGUCCCAGCAAUCGACUUUUCUUAAUUCUCACAGCUUUAUAUUCAUCUGUGUUUUUAACUCCCUUUUUUCUCUUUUUUUCAAUAUGCUCACUAUCACUCAUAUUAUUUAGUAUAUUAAAAAAGAAACCAAAUAGAAAAACUGAAAUAUUUAGUCCGAACACGUUGGCUAACAAAACAAUAAUAAACAACUUUUCGUAAUGGCCACGUGCAUACCGAUGCGGCGCGACUGCCGCCAGUCCGUGUAAAUUUAUGAAAUGAUUUAAGUCACUGACUCAUACCCUUUCAAAAAUAAAUAUAAUAUUGUGAUGCCUUUUUUUUUGCUACGGGUAGUACAGACUUAGAUCCUUUCAAGACUAAACGGUAGAUAUACGUGCUAUAAAUAAGAUUUUAUAGUAAUCUUGAUUUUCGUCAAGUAGUGACUUAUACCCUUUCAUAAAUAAGCAAUUCAUAUAAGGAAGAUAAUAUUAUCAGUAGCCAGACUUUAUUAAAAAAAUCAGCUCUACCUCAAAGGUAGUUUUUUUUUAAAUAUAUUUUUCUAGUAUAAAAAAAUCGUCACAAAAAGUAUUAGUGUUACUCAUAUAAGCUUUAUUUAUACCUAACACUUAUUAAAUUAGGUAUGUGUGUAAAACUAUUUUUUUACCAGGAUCUCUGAUGCACUAGUUAAAAACACAGCAGCCGAUAAUUCAGUUAAUUUACCAAGUGAUUUACCCUUUAAAGCUGCAGGGGUAGUUUUCCUGAAGAGUGCAAAAACUUCUUUAGCUUCCAAAAUGGUAUAUAGUACAAACAGUGAAGCUAAUAUAGACAAAUCUGAUCAUUCAUCAUCAACAAUAACUGCAUCUGAGAUUAAUAGUUACCGUGGGGUCUAGGUCAACAAUUACUAUUUCUCAUCCAAGCCGUUUUUGUUUGACUGCUACACAUUCCCUGACUCUGCCAAGGAAAAGGGUAAAAUCAAAAUGAUAUCCUGAGGACCUAAGCACUGAUGAUUCCACCGUUUCAAAAGCUAAAUCACUUGUCACCAAAUUAUGGAAAAAAAUAAAGAACAAAAAAUUAAAAUUCAAAGAUUGCAACAAACAAAUUUGCG
Molecule: long non-coding RNA, 3075 nt
Organism: Anthonomus grandis grandis
Lineage: Eukaryota; Metazoa; Arthropoda; Insecta; Coleoptera; Curculionidae
Exons: 3
Source: RefSeq, a predicted model, not a curated record